Molecule: long non-coding RNA, 524 nt
Organism: Oryzias melastigma (Indian medaka)
Lineage: Eukaryota; Metazoa; Chordata; Actinopteri; Beloniformes; Adrianichthyidae
Exons: 3
Source: RefSeq, a predicted model, not a curated record
CCGCCUUCUGUCCCUCCAACAAGCGAGACGUUGCUGCUGUUCGACUGAAGCAGUGCAGGUACAGCAGCAUUUCUGAUGGAAGGAUGAAAACAAGCGGUUUCACCAAAGGUUUCGAUCCUUUUCACAUCAAGCUCAGAUGCAAUGGCGAAUCCUUCUCCUGCAAAGAGCAUCGGUGACCCUGGCAUCACCCCCCUCUCUCCAUCUCACAUUCAGGUGAUUUUUAUAUUUCUUUUGUUGUUUUUGUACACCAGUGCUUAAGCAGUCUGUAUUCUCAAUUCAAUAUGAUCAUCAGUUAAUUCUCCAGUGGUGUGUGAGGAUCUGCUUAGUAUGUUGGUGCAGGAGGAACUUGGUUAUUUUGUUCUUUGGAAACACUGCGGUCUGUUCAUUACUGCGUUCCUUUUGGCUCUUCAUCAUUGCAGCUGUUGUGUAAUAGUGUAAAAAAACAACAGUGGGAAGGAAAAAGAAACAAACACUGGUUCAACUUACAAAAAAAGAAGAAAGAGUCUUUGAGUCAACCAUUGCUG